Chiroxiphia lanceolata (lance-tailed manakin) is the source of this 183-nucleotide long non-coding RNA. RefSeq lists it as uncharacterized. NCBI's taxonomy places the organism in Eukaryota, Metazoa, Chordata, Aves, Passeriformes, Pipridae. The transcript has 3 exons. The record is from RefSeq and is a predicted model, not a curated record.
AGAUGUCGCUACGGGGCUUUGCAAAUGCGGGUAAGGCCUUCGAGCCUGCUCAAUGGAUUUUUUAGGUGAGACACAGCAUGCACGGAACUGAACCCACCCUUUAAUCCUAAGGUUCAUCUGCUGGGGCCAAGCGAGCUUGGAUGGUGGUAGCGAGGUCCUCAGGAUGUGAUGAGAUGGCUGGAG